RNAcentral lists this non-coding RNA (31 nucleotides) under Mus musculus (house mouse). Lineage: Eukaryota; Metazoa; Chordata; Mammalia; Rodentia; Muridae. The record is from RNAcentral.
UGGACACCUGCGUCCCACUUGCUCGAUCCAU